Molecule: long non-coding RNA, 4577 nt
Organism: Papio anubis (olive baboon)
Lineage: Eukaryota; Metazoa; Chordata; Mammalia; Primates; Cercopithecidae
Source: Ensembl
AUACAACAUUCCCUAGAUUCCAAGCUCUCAGAGUUUUCUGGGGCCUUUGCAUCUGUUGCAUAAACCUACAUAAAACAUGGCUUUUCUCUUAGGAGGAGCUUGCAACCCAGUGAAGGAGACAAAUGGUUAACCAAAUACAGUGCAGUAAGAGAUCCAACCAACUAAAAUGUUCAGUGCUAGAAGACCACAGAAAAGGAUUAACCGGACAGUCUUCACAGAGUAGGGCAGCUUGUUGGUCCAGGGGAGACUUAUGCAGCAUUGUGACACUGGGGUACACGUCUGUCAUUUUCUGAAGAGCUGACUUGGCUUCCAUUCUACAGGUGUGAAUGAAGAUGGCAUUACUCUAGGGCGUAGCCACUGACUCUUCUGAGGUCUUUGCCAUGGCAAUUGUAGCCACACCAUAGACAGACCAUGCCCUUUCCUUGGCAUUUAAUCUAGUUGCCCUCCCAGGGGACCUCUUGGUGAUUACCUGUCCUGCUGGCUGUCACUCCUAACUUCCAGGCCUCCUAUAGUCCAAAGGAACCACAGUCUCUUCCUCAUCACUUAGGCAACAAAAUCCCAGGGAUCGUUGGCCCUUUAGGAUCUAGAUAAGGCAUGCUAGCAUUUAUAUUCCCACUUUACACCCUUGCCUUCUCAAUACUCCAAGGGGAAAACAGUACAAGUAUUUUUACUCUUGGGUCCUCUUUACAUAAGGGAGAAAUUUAUAUUCAAACUUCACCCCUAGACCCUUCCUGGAGUUUGUUAUAGUGCACAUUUGUUAUGGGCUGAAUCUUGUCCCCAUCAACUUCAUAUGUUGAAACCCUAGAAGCCAGUAUCUCAGAAUAUGACUGCAUUUGGAGAUAGGGCCUUUAAAAGACGAUCAGAUUAAAAAGAGGCCAUUAGGGCAGGUCCUAAUCCAGUCUAACUGGUGUCCUUAUAAGAGGAGGAAAUUUAGACGCACACAGACACCAGCGCUGCACAUGCACACGGGAAAGAAUACAUGAGAACACAGUGAGACAGCUACGUUUGCAAGCCAAGGAGACAGGCCUCAGAAAGCAAACCUGCCUAUUCCUUGGGCUUUGACUUACAGCCUCCUGAACUGUGAGAAAUACAUUUCUAUUGUGUAAGUCGCCAAACCUGUUGGUAAUAGGUUAUAGCAGCCCUAGUGCACGAAUACAGCAUUCCCCACAUUAUAACUCUCUCCCGUCCUUCUAAGAGCUCAAUCUUCAUUUCCUACUACAGUUUAGUUAGGUCUCAUUGGAGCAGGAGCUGGUGGAAGAGGGAGCUAGUUCCCUGCGUUCCUAUAUGUUCCCCACCCCAAUCCAUUUUUUGACUUGUACAUACUGGGCAUUUUGAAGGUUUUGUUUAAGAAUCUAGAGUCUUUAUUUCAUUUGUUCGAAUAGAAAUGACUGGGAGAAGACAAAAGCAAUAUGAAGUGUUAAGUUCCAGAUCUCGAAUAAAUAUGUUAUCUAACAUCCCAUGGGUUAACUGUGUGUGUACAUGCUCAUAUUUUCCUGGAAAAUGAGUCCACAACUCUCCUCAAAUUCUCCAAUGGAUUUAUGACUGCAAAAAUGUUAAGAUUCACAACUGUAUUAUAUUUGAAAUAUGACUCAUUUUCAAAUAUAUGAUUUACAUACAAUUUUACAAAUAUACUAUGCCAAGUGAGAGAGAGCCACUAAAGUUUAUUUUCAAUAAAUGUAAAAUUGUAGCACACUCAUUUGUUUUCUUUUAAAAAUCUCUUAUUUAAUUUGCCAUGAAAAAAGAAGCUAAAGUAAACUGUCUGUGAAAAACUUGAUUUCUUCCUCAUACUCACCCAGUCCCAUGCUAAGAGAUCAUAAAAUCAUACUGCUACUGAUACUGGGAACAGCUAUCUUCGAGCACUACCAGCAGUAAGAAGCAUUCCAUCUUAUUCAAUAUUCAAACACGCAUAUGCAUUAAUACACCAUAGAAAUUAUUGCUUUUUUAAUAUUUCUUUUUCCUACUUUCUUUUGCCUUUUGUGUCAAUGUUCAUGAAACAACCAGGAAUAGGAGAUAGUAGUGAUAAGGAAUGACCUGUAUUCCUCCCCUCAUUUUGGGAAUUUUCAUCUUUUUCUUCUUCUUCAGCCUACCACUCUAAUCUACCUGAUUACUACAUAGGUACUAUGAAAAUGUCACUUGGUUACUAUCCUUGGCCAAGGUCGUUGGCUGGGGUUUGGUAGCUGGAAGAAUCACAGUACUUGGAGAAUUUGGAACUGGUUCACAAGUUAUAAAGUUUAAGAGUCGUUAGCAACCAUGCACUUUGGUGCACACCAGAUAAGCAGAGAGAGACAAUGUAUGUGGGGAGAGAGAGAAAGAGGAGAGAGAUACAGAAUGGAACAGUUAGUGUGGUGGCGGAAAAGAGACAGAGAAAUUUCUAAUGGCCUGUCUCUGUUUUCCAGUCAUUGCUAGUGCCCAGUUGCAUUCUUGUUUUGGGGUUCCAUGGGGCAGCCAAGUAUCUUUACAAUAAUUUACCCGUUUUACUUAAGUUCGUUCUUAUUUCUAACAACAUCCCUCUUAAUUUAAAUACACACAGACAUACACGCACAAUCAUAUACACAAGAGAUGAUGCUAAUGUAUACAUAACAAAGUUUCUGUAAUGUUUAAGUGUUUAAAAAUUGAGAUGAAAACAAAGACUUACUUUAUGGGUUAUCAUUGACAUAACUGAAUAAGCAUUAAAAAACCUACAUGAUGCUUGGUGCUAUAUUCUAGAAGAGAUUUUGAAUAGUGAAGGAUCAUAAAAAUGUAGAUAUGAUGUCAUAUUAAUCUCACCUGAGAUAAAAAUCUAGAGGAACAAUGAAUCUAUGGAGACAGUGUAGGCUGCUUCACUGCAAAGGAGAGUGUGACAACAGCCCUGUAGAUCCUAGCUUGAUUUUAUUGUUUUAGACAGCAAGGUACCUGCAGGGAAUCACCUUUGACUUCUGGCCCUACAAAGAUAUUUCAAAAGGAGAUGAAAAAUAUUUUGUCCUUCAUUGGCAAAUGGAGUUAUGUUUUGGGGGUACAAGUGGGCAAAAGUUCAAGGUUUGUAAAAGUGAAUGCUGAAUGAGUUUAUUAAACCGUGGGAGCAUCCGAAUUCUCCAGGCUUAUUCAAGGAAAAAGCCACCAAAGAACUAAAAAAGGUAAAUAUCAGGAUGAUUGAUGGAUUUUUUAAAAUGCCUUGUGGUACAUGCAUCUGAUGGCAUCCUGAUUCAUAUUCUCUGUUUUCCCAGAAUUCAAACUUCUUACGUGAUAUGCAUAGGUAAGUCACAUAUUUCUCAGCCGCCGUGUAAAAGGACUUCGGCAGCAUGGUCCAUGUCUGGACUUUAAUUAUAAUAGGGUCAUCUAAGCAUCUCACUUUAAACUCAUUUCCAUAGAAUCAGUAACUGCAUUUAUUUACCACUCAGUCUUUUAGGAGGUAUGGUUUGGUAUUUCUGGGAUUGCUGCUGUAGUCUUCAUAAACACACACACGUGCACAGACACACACACACACACUCUUCCACUUAAAGUUAGAGGACAGAUAUGUUAACUAUAUUUCCAAUUUAGUAACAAAGCUCUGACAUCCUAAUGUCCUGAUAUUAUUUCAAUGUCUCUCUUGUGAGAAAAAUCAGAAACCGCCCAGUGAGAAAGUUCUAUCAUCUUUCCAGCAGAUCUCUAUGAACAGAACUUACCCACUGCUUGGAGAUGGGUGUGUUCAGUGCUGCCCUAUGGAGGAGAAAUCUAACUGUGUGAUGGCUUCUCAAAGCUGAUCCACAUCUUGACAGGGAUUAUUUAUUUGUUCCUCACUCUCCUAUCUCUCUGCAUUCAGCUCACUUGGGAUAGAGGCUGAGCAUAGGAGAAAAGGCUUGAAGAGAAACAAAGGGAAGGGCUUCAGGGACGCCAAGCAAUUUCUGGCCUAUAGUGUUUAUUAAUUUAUUCUAUAAACAUUUAUUGAAACUACAGAAUAUUAGUUAUUGUCCCAAGCUCUGGGAGCAGAGUGGUGAGAAAAAUAAAUGAAACAAACAAACAACUCCCCCCUCCAAAAUAACAAAAACAAAACAAAACCCCCCGCAAAGUCCCUGUCCUCACUGGCAAGGCUUAUAAUGUGAUGGUCAAAUGUUUGAGGAGUGAAAGGAUGCCUAGAUGCAGGCAGUGACAGCAGGGGUGACAGCUGGGGGUACAUACAGCUUCCUAGUUUGUGAAACUGUUAGGCCGCGACUUAACCCAAAUUGAUUUCACUGUCCUGACUUUGAGAUUCCAGUCUUUUUGCAUGGCAAAUGUAACACUUGUGUACAAGCAUUCGUACACUGCUUUAUUUAAACAGUGAAUUUAAAACGCCCUCAGGGAGAAGGGCUGGGGUGUCUUUAUGGGCUGACUCUGGGCACCUUUACCUUUGAACGGCUCCAUCAAAACCUUUCCGAGAGAGCCGCCAGGUGGCACCUGUAAGGCGCAGAUGGGGAGAGUCAUUUGCCCCACACCCUACACAGCCCGGAAUAAUCAGGGUGCGUGCUUUCCCCUGUGGGCUUGUUGGCUAGGAAGUGGGGGAGUUUUAGUCUCCGUCCAGACUGCUUGCUUACAUACCCCGUUUUCCUGAUACCCCAACACACUCAGGGCGGAUUUGUCCCCAC